AGAAAGCAGAAUGGACAAGCUGAGUCAGACAAAUGAUGACCUCAGAGACCAUCUGAGCACAACAAGAAAGGAGCUCGAACAAAAAGAGAGGUACAUUGACACCCUCAACCGGCAGAGAGUCAUUGUGUCCUCUGCAUCUAGAGAACAUGUCCACCAGCUUGGUACAACACAAGCAGAACCUGAGACCAGCAUGGCCUCCACCACACAGCCUGAUGACACUGCACCAGCCUAUCAGUCUGCUCCAGCCCAGGUCAACCUACCAGCCUCUCAGUCUGCUCCAGCCCAGGUCAACCUACCAGCCUCCCAGUCUGCUCCAGCCCAGGUCAACCUACCAGCCUCCCAGUCUGCUCCAGCCCAGGUCAGAAUACCAGCCUCCCAGUCUGCUCCAGCCCAGGUCAACCUACCAGCCUCCCAGUCUGCUCCAGCCCAGGUCAACCUACCAGCCUCUCAGUCUGCUCCAGCCCAGGUCAACCUACCAGCCUCUCAGUCUGCUCCAGCCCAGGUCAACCUACCAGCCUCUCAGUCUGCUCCAGCCCAGGUCAACCUACCAGCCUCUCAGUCUGCUCCAGCCCAGGUCAACCUACCAGCCUCCCAGUCUGCUCCAGCCCAGGUCAGAAUACC
Long non-coding RNA from Oncorhynchus tshawytscha (Chinook salmon), 621 nucleotides. Lineage: Eukaryota; Metazoa; Chordata; Actinopteri; Salmoniformes; Salmonidae. The record is from Ensembl.